RNAcentral lists this ribosomal RNA (1515 nucleotides) under uncultured prokaryote. RNAcentral describes it as "partial 16S ribosomal RNA". It matches the Rfam family "Bacterial small subunit ribosomal RNA". The record is from RNAcentral.
AGAGUUUGAUCCUGGCUCAGAGUGAACGUUGGCGGCGUGGAUUAGGCAUGCAAGUCGCGCGCGAAAGCCUUCGGGUGAGUAAAGCGGCGAACGGGUGAGUAACACGUAACCAACCUACCCUCGAGACCGGAAUAACCACUGGAAACGGUGGAUAAUGCCGGAUGGCCCCUUUGGUCGGCAUCGACGCGUCAGUAAAUGGUGUCGGGCAACCUUCUGCCCGGGGAGCGGCCUAUGCCCUAUUAGCUUGUUGGUGGGGUAACGGCCUACCAAGGCAGCGAUGGGUAGCCGGACUGAGAGGUCGGCCGGUCACACUGGGACUGAGACACUGCCCAGACUCCUACGGGAGGCUGCAGUCGAGAAUCUUCCGCAAUGGACGCAAGUCUGACGGGGCGACGCCGCGUGUGGGAUGAAGGCCUUCGGGUUGUAAACCACUGUUGCGCGUUAGGAAACCCUCGGGGUUAAUAGCCUUCGAGGCUGACCAUCGCGUGAGGAAGCACAGGCUAACUCCGUGCCAGCAGCCGCGGUAAUACGGAGUGUGCAAGCGUUACUCGGAAUCACUGGGCAUAAAGAGCACGUAGGCGGGUCACCAAGUCAGCCGUGAAAGCCCCCGGCCCAACCGGGGAACUGCGACCGAAACUGGUGGUCUUGAGUGCGAGAGGGGAGAGCGGAACUUCUGGUGGAGCGGUGAAAUGCGUAGAUAUCAGAAGGAACAUCGGUGGUGAAAACGGCUCUCUGGCUCGUUACUGACGCUGAGGUGCGAAAGCUAGGGUAGCGAACGGGAUUAGAUACCCCGGUAGUCCUAGCCGUAAACGAUGGGCACUAGGCAGGGGGGGGCUCCAUGCCUUCCCUGCUGGAGCAAAAGUUUUAAGUGCCCCGCCUGGGGAGUACAGUCGCAAGGCCGAAACUCAAAGGAAUUGACGGGGGCUCACACAAGCGGUGGAGCAUGUGGUUUAAUUCGAAGCAACGCGCAAAACCUUACCUGGGUUUGACAUACACGGAUUAGUCGGUGGAAACAUGGGUGACGCCCGCAAGGGUGGAACAUGCACAGGUGCUGCAUGGCUGUCGUCAGCUCGUGUCGUGAGAUGUCGGGUUAAGUCCCUUAACGAGCGAAACCCUUGCCGUUAGUUGCCAGCGGGUCAUGCCGGGGACUCUAGCGGGACUGCCGUGGUCAACACGGAGGAAGGUGGGGAUGACGUCAAGUCCUCAUGGCCUUUAUGCCCAGGGCUACACACGUGCUACAAUGGCCGGUACAAAGCGACGCGAAGCCGCAAGGUGGUGCCAAUCGCACAAAGCCGGUCCCAGUACGGAUUGUGGGCUGCAAUUCGCCCGCAUGAAGUUGGAAUCGCUAGUAAUCGCGCAUCAGCAUUGGCGCGGUGAAUAUGUUCCUGAGCCUUGUACACACCGCCCGUCAAGCCACGGAAGCCGGUAGUGCCCGAAGUCGUUGACCCAACCCGCAAGGGAGGGAGGCGCCGACGGUAAGACCGGUGACUGGGACUAAGUCGUAACAAGGUAACC